GGGGAUGCUCUCUGGAACUCGGUCAUCCGUCCUUCUCUAGCACACGGGUGUGCCGUAUGGCUACCUUCAUCCGCUUCUAGUCAACAUAUACUUGAAACAUGGCAAUAUAAAACCGCAAAACUGAUUUUUAAUACUGAGAUGAAUAUUCCUAAAGCUGCUUUAUUCCUAGAUUUGGGAUGGGAGCCAAUAAACGAUUUUCUUGAUAGACAAAGGGUGUCUU
This 220-nucleotide long non-coding RNA is filed under the name Mytilus galloprovincialis (Mediterranean mussel). The record is from RNAcentral. Lineage: Eukaryota; Metazoa; Mollusca; Bivalvia; Mytilida; Mytilidae.